This 613-nucleotide long non-coding RNA is filed under the name Brassica napus (rape). Its description in RNAcentral is "long non-coding RNA (BNAP_LNC018766)". Lineage: Eukaryota; Viridiplantae; Streptophyta; Magnoliopsida; Brassicales; Brassicaceae. The record is from RNAcentral.
UCAUCGCUUUAAGUCUCCUCAUACCUGAAGUUCUCUAAUUUUCCAGUUACUUUCACAGGUUAUAAAGAGUAGUGCUUGCUUCUCCUUCUCUCCUACCAAGCUUUUGUUUUGAUGAAGAUUGUAGAUAAAGGAACAAAACGGCUACACAAGAACAUUCAUCACUCUGCCUUCCCACCAAACCAUCCCAUCAUACAAAACAAAGAAGAUUAUGAUGUGAGCACGGCAACCUGAUAUAGCAAUCGGCUCACAUGCUUUUUUGCAAAUAUCAUGAUCCAAUUUUACAAUAAGGUUAGUGAUGUCUUUUUUAAAUUGUUCGUAUAUUAAUAUAUUUUAUUCAUUUACAUUCAUAGGUCUACAUACACAUGAAUGUCAAUAUUUCAAAACAUUCAGGUGUAAGAGAUCAAAGUUGUGAUGAUUUUCUUGCGUCUUUUUCUUUAGUAUGUAAGUAAUAUUUUUAGGUUUCUUUUGUGUGUUUGAUUGUUUUGGUGAUUAUGAGUUUAUUAAUGAUUUACUGAUAUUUAGGUAAGUGUAUGAUUUUUUUUAUGUUGUUGAACCGUUCUUAGGUAUUGUUCUUAGGUACUGUAUGCACGUGUAAACCGUAACAAAAUGACAG